RNAcentral lists this ribosomal RNA (465 nucleotides) under uncultured bacterium. Its description in RNAcentral is "bacterial SSU rRNA". It matches the Rfam family "Bacterial small subunit ribosomal RNA", at positions 331 to 794 of the family's 1533-position model. The record is from RNAcentral.
CCAGACUCCUACGGGAGGCAGCAGUGGGGAAUAUUGGGCAAUGGGCGCAAGCCUGACCCAGCAACGCCGCGUGAAGGAAGAAGGCUUUCGGGUUGUAAACUUCUUUUGUCAGGGAGCAAUUGAGUCCACGUGUGGGCUUAGCGAGAGUACCUGAAGAAAAAGCAUCGGCUAACUCCGUGCCAGCAGCCGCGGUAAUACGGAGGAUGCGGGCGUUAUCCGGAUUUAUUGGGUUUAAAGGGUGCGUAGGCGGAAUAUCAAGUCAGCGGUAAAAAUUCGGGGCUCAACCCCGUCGUGCCGUUGAAACUGAUGUUCUUGAGUGGGCGAGAAGUAUGCGGAAUGCGUGGUGUAGCGGUGAAAUGCAUAGAUAUCACGCAGAACUCCGAUUGCGAAGGCAGCAUACCGGCGCCCAACUGACGCUGAAGCACGAAAGCGUGGGUAUCGAACAGGAUUAGAUACCCUCGUAAA